UACGUAGGGGGCAAGCGUUGUCCGGAAUCAUUGGGCGUAAAGCGCGUGUAGGCGGUUACGUAAGUCUGCUGUGAAAGUCGGAGGCUCAACCUUCGAAAGCCGGUGGAUACUGCGUGACUAGAGUACGGAAGAGGAGAGUGGAAUUCCUGGUGUAGCGGUGAAAUGCGCAGAUAUCAGGGGGAACACCAACGGCGAAGGCAGCUCUCUGGGACGUUACUGACGCUGAGGAGCGAAAGCAUGGGGAGCGAACAGG
Molecule: ribosomal RNA, 253 nt
Filed under: uncultured bacterium
Lineage: Bacteria
Description: partial 16S ribosomal RNA
Rfam family: Bacterial small subunit ribosomal RNA
Source: RNAcentral